RNAcentral lists this ribosomal RNA (403 nucleotides) under uncultured bacterium. RNAcentral's name for it is "partial 16S ribosomal RNA". It matches the Rfam family "Bacterial small subunit ribosomal RNA", at positions 30 to 526 of the family's 1533-position model. The record is from RNAcentral.
AUUGAACGCUGGCGGCAGGCCUAACACAUGCAAGUCGAGCGAGCGGCGGACGGGUGAGUAAUGUAUGGGGACUGCCCGAUAGAGGGGGAUAACUACUGGAAACGUUAGCUAAUACCGCAUACUAUCGGAUAACCCAUAUGGGAUUAGCUAGUAGGUGAGGUAAUGGCUCACCUAGGCGACGAUCCCUAGCUGGUCUGAGAGGAUGAUCAGCAACACUGGGAAUGAGCCACGACCAAGACACCUACGGAGUCAGAGGUGGGGAAGAUUGCACAAUGGGCGCAGGCCUGAUGCAGCCAUGCCGCGUGGAUGAAGAAGGCCCUAGGGUGGUAAAGUACUUUCAGUCGGGAGGCGUUACCGACAGAAGAAGCACCGGCUAACUCCGUGCCAGCAGCCGCGGUAAUAC